UACGAAGGGGGCUAGCGUUGUUCGGAUUUACUGGGCGUAAAGCGCACGUAGGCGGAUCGUUAAGUCGGGGGUGAAAUCCUGGAGCUCAACUCCAGAACUGCCUUCGAUACUGGCGAUCUUGAGUCCGGAAGAGGUGAGUGGAAUUCCUAGUGUAGAGGUGGAAUUCGUAGAUAUUAGGAAGAACACCAGUGGCGAAGGCGGCUCACUGGUCCGGUACUGACGCUGAGGUGCGAAAGCGUGGGGAG
This 245-nucleotide ribosomal RNA is filed under the name uncultured bacterium. RNAcentral's name for it is "partial 16S ribosomal RNA". It matches the Rfam family "Bacterial small subunit ribosomal RNA", at positions 524 to 768 of the family's 1533-position model. The record is from RNAcentral.